ACGAACGCUGGCGGCGUGCUUAACCCAUGCCAGUCGAACGGAAAGGCCCUGCUUGCAGGGUACUCGAGUGGCGAACGGGUGAGUAACACGUGGGUGAUCUGCCCUGCACUUCGGGAUAAGCCUGGGAAACUGGGUCUAAUACCGGAUAGGAGCCAUUUUUAGUGUGAUGGUUGGAAAGUUUUUUCGGUGUAGGAUGAGCUCGCGGCCUAUCAGCUUGUUGGUGGGGUAAUGGCCUACCAAGGCGGCGACGGGUAGCCGGCCUGAGAGGGUGGACGGCCACAUUGGGACUGAGAUACGGCCCAGACUCCUACGGGAGGCAGCAGUGGGGAAUAUUGCACAAUGGGCGCAAGCCUGAUGCAGCGACGCCGCGUGGGGGAUGACGGCCUUCGGGUUGUAAACUCCUUUCGCUAGGGACGAAGCUUUUUGUGACGGUACCUAGAUAAGAAGCACCGGCUAACUACGUG
RNAcentral lists this ribosomal RNA (464 nucleotides) under uncultured bacterium. RNAcentral describes it as "partial 16S ribosomal RNA". It matches the Rfam family "Bacterial small subunit ribosomal RNA", at positions 29 to 507 of the family's 1533-position model. The record is from RNAcentral.